AACUUUGCGCAAUGGCAGUAUCCUGGCCAAUGAGGUUUAUCCAAAGCGCGAUUAUUGCUAAUUAAAAAGAGCCAUUUCGUUCAUAUGAAACAAUAUGGGACUCUGAACCACUCAAAGAAUUUGAACCAGACAAAUGUCU
Small nuclear RNA from Suricata suricatta (meerkat), 139 nucleotides. Its record names the gene U4. It matches the Rfam family "U4 spliceosomal RNA". From Rfam's summary of the family: U4 small nuclear RNA (U4 snRNA) is a component of the major U2-dependent spliceosome. The structure of U4 snRNA from yeast and human has been reported. U4 snRNA presents a k-turn RNA motif in the 5p-SL related to recognition of Snu13 protein. The record is from Ensembl. Lineage: Eukaryota; Metazoa; Chordata; Mammalia; Carnivora; Herpestidae.